UUAGAGACACGCCGCUUCACUUCAUCUUCCCCCUAACCCCUCCAAUCCCAUAAAAUCCACCACAUCCUACAGAGCUUCUCUGCAAGCCGGAAUCGGCGAAAAAAGUGUGUGAAAAUCCGACCCCGGUGAUUAACGGCCGUCGUGCGAAUUGUAACCUAGCGUCACUCGGUGCUUGCCGUCAGAGAACGUUAACCGUUGUUCCGCAGUCGUCAACACCGCCACCACACCGCCAAUCCGUUAGGAGCUAAUGUGAUCGUAGGUCUGAGAUCUUGAUCUGCCGGAGCGGUUACACCACCGCCUGUAAGUCACGUGCAAUGGUACUAUCCACCAACGCCACCGCCGGCGUCACCGUACCACCACCAGGCAACAUUGCCGUACUACGGUUAUGCUCCGGCUGCUUACGUGGCAACAACGGAUGUCAGUUACAAUCACUUUUGUCCAAAAUAAGAUCAUUUGGGAAGAAUGAUGAUGGAAGGGAAAAUCAGUCAGAUGGUUCAGAUUCAAAUGCUUGCAGCUACUCCUGAUAUCAUGAGGAAACUUACUAAUUAGUGGAGAGAGUGUUGAUUGGAUUAAUAUGCUACAUGAGCUCCAACAUUUUCUACAUGAUCAUGGAUCCAAUGAUUUAUGGAAUUGUUGCUGAUCAUAGUGACAACAAUGUUAUUUAUGCUACAAUAUUUCCACAUAAUAUUGGCCACAUAGCUACCAGGGACACUAAUCUUGUGAAGAGAAUAGGUGCAACCACUAUUGCUGAAGUCAGAGCUAUCGGAAUUUCAUAUGCAUUUGCUCCUUGUAUUGAUGUAAGUAUAAUAAAAUAUGUAAGUAUGUGUCUAUAAAGAACUGUUUUUAUAGGUAUGCAGAGAUCUAAUAUGCGGGCGUGCUAUGAGAGUUACAGUGAGGAUAAUGAACUUGUUCAAAGUAUGAAUAAGAUUGUAUUAGGAUUGCAAGGGCAUUCUGUAUCAAUACAGUGAUGACUUGCAAUAUAUACCUGGUGUGACCAGUUUUGCAUGUUUCUCCGGUUUUCAUGGUUGGUAACGGUUCCUCCACCAUGCUUGGACCCAUGAAGCCCGAACCAAAACCACCAAAGGCAUCAGUUGCUCAAAAACGUCGAAGGUCGUUUAAGGUAGAGACGGUGAAACCGAAAGAGGUCUCGAGGAUACUGUUUCUAAAGAAAAGAUGGAAACCGAAAAGACGAUCGCUAAAAUGUUUGAUGUUCUAAAAAUCAACAAAAAAGUUCGUCUUGAGAACCUGCUUGGUGAAAGAUGGCCGGGUUGUGAUAACGGUGGAUGAUAAUGGCUGUCAUCAUGUUUGUAUGUCACAUUUCUUAACUAUGUUCACCACGGAAUGCUCCUGCUGCUUCCAUGAUUACAUCUAGGAAGGUGGUAUACUCACAAUUCAUCUUUAGGUUUGACUUCAGUGACUGGAAGGUACAUGGCUUGAAAUUCCAUCGCUUGAAGAACCUUUACUGUGAUCGAGGUUACGGAAACUGAGAGAUAUUUACACGUGGCAAGGAAGAGAAAGAAGACGAUCUUGGCUGUAGUUAUCAUGCACUUUGGAUAAUUUAGGGGGCAAGAAACAAGAAGGUGUUUGAAAAUCGACCAAUUUCGGUUACGAAGGCAACAGAAGAAAUUCAGGAAACCAACUUCCUUUGGCUUAAACAUCGGGCGAGAUGGAAGACAAUGACUUUUGAUGAGUGGUUAAAAUUUGAUGUAAACCUUUUCUACUCAGUUUUCGUUAUAUUGGUGUAAGCAUGGCCUCCGCUAGCACUUAUUUGGUUCGAGUUUUUUUUGCUUGGUUUUGGUGUUUUAUCGGAUGGCUUUGUUUGUUAAAAAAACUAACUUUCGAGAUCAAACUAAUCAUGUUUUUGCUAGAUACCACAAAUGAAUGGAAA
Molecule: long non-coding RNA, 1888 nt
Filed under: Helianthus annuus (common sunflower)
Lineage: Eukaryota; Viridiplantae; Streptophyta; Magnoliopsida; Asterales; Asteraceae
Source: RNAcentral